This 491-nucleotide ribosomal RNA is filed under the name uncultured bacterium. RNAcentral describes it as "partial 16S ribosomal RNA". It matches the Rfam family "Bacterial small subunit ribosomal RNA", at positions 29 to 507 of the family's 1533-position model. The record is from RNAcentral.
GUGAACGCUGGCGGUAGGCCUAACACAUGCCAGUCGAACGGCAGCACAGUAAGAGCUUGCUCUUACGGGUGGCGAGUGGCGGACGGGUGAGGAAUACAUCGGAAUCUACUUUUUCGUGGGGGAUAACGUAGGGAAACUUACGCUAAUACCGCAUACGACCUACGGGUGAAAGCAGGGGAUCUUCGGACCUUGCGCGAUUGAAUGAGCCGAUGUCGGAUUAGCUAGUUGGCGGGGUAAAGGCCCACCAAGGCGACGAUCCGUAGCUGGUCUGAGAGGAUGAUCAGCCACAGGGGAACUGAGACGCGGUCCAGACCCCGAGGGGAGGGAGCAGUGGGGAAUAUUGGACAAGGGGCGCAAGCCUGACCCAGCCAUACCGGGGGGGUGAAGAAGGCCUUCGGGUUGAAAAGCCCUUUUGUGGGGAAAGAAAAGCAGCAGGUUAAUACCCCGCUGUUCUGACGGUACCAAAAGAAUAAGCACCGGCUAACUUCGUG